GGCGGACGGGUGAGUAACGCGUAGGAAUCUACCUAGUAGUGGGGGAUAGCCAAGGGAAACUUUGGGUAAUACCGCAUACGAUCUAAGGAUGAAAGGGGGCCUCUCUUUGAAGCUCUCGCUAUUAGAUGAGCCUGCGUAAGAUUAGCUUGUUGGUGAGGUAAUGGCUCACCAAGGCGACGAUCUUUAGCUGGUCUGAGAGGAUGAUCAGUCACACUGGAACUGAGACACGGUCCAGACUCCUACGGGAGGCAGCAGUCGGGAAUAUUGGACAAUGGGGGAAACCCUGAUCCAGCCAUGCCGCGUGUGUGAAGAAGGCCCUAGGGUUGUAAAGCACUUUUAGUAGUGAGGAAGGCUCAGUAGUUAAUACCUACUGGGAUUGACGUUAGCUACAGAAAAAGCACCGGCUAAUUUCGUGCCAGCAGCCGCGGUAAUACGAAAGGUGCAAGCGUUAAUCGGAAUUACUGGGCGUAAAGCGCGC
Molecule: ribosomal RNA, 478 nt
Filed under: uncultured Gammaproteobacteria bacterium
Lineage: Bacteria; Pseudomonadati; Pseudomonadota; Gammaproteobacteria
Description: bacterial SSU rRNA
Rfam family: Bacterial small subunit ribosomal RNA
Source: RNAcentral